UGCCAGCCGCCGCGGUAAGACGGGGGGUGCAAGCGUUAUCCGGAUUUACUGGGUUUAAAGGGUACGUAGGCGGUUUUGAAAGUCAGUAGUGAAAACUAGUAGCUCAACUGUUAGCGUGCUAUUGAUACUUCUUGACUUGAGUGUAGUUGAGGUGGGUGGAAUUUUAUAUGUAGCGGUGAAAUGCAUAGAUAUAUAAAGGAACACCAAUAACGAAGGUAACUCACCAAGCUAUUACUGACGCUGAGGUACGAAAGCGUGGGGAGCAAACAGGAUUAGAUA
Molecule: ribosomal RNA, 279 nt
Filed under: uncultured bacterium
Lineage: Bacteria
Description: partial 16S ribosomal RNA
Rfam family: Bacterial small subunit ribosomal RNA
Source: RNAcentral